AUACGGAGGAUCCGAGCGUUAUCCGGAUUUAUUGGGUUUAAAGGGUGCGCAGGCGGCCAUUUAAGUCAGCGGUUAAAUCGUGGGGCUCAACCCCAUUCUGCCGUUGAUACUGGGUGGCUUGAUUGCGGUCGAGGUUGGCGUAAUUCGUUGUGUAGCGGGGAAAUGCAUAGAUAUGACGAAGAACACCGAUUGCGUAGGCAGCUGACCAGACCGCAAAUGACGCUCAUGCACGAAAGUGCGGGGAUCGAACAGGAUUAGAUACCCUGGUAGUCCGCACAGUAAACGAUGAAUACUUGUUUUCGGCGAUAUAAUGUCGGAGGCAAAGCGAAAGCGAUAAGUAUUCCACCUGGGGAGUACGCCGGCAACGGUGAAACUCAAAUGAAUUGACGGGG
RNAcentral lists this ribosomal RNA (392 nucleotides) under uncultured bacterium. RNAcentral describes it as "partial 16S ribosomal RNA". It matches the Rfam family "Bacterial small subunit ribosomal RNA", at positions 523 to 918 of the family's 1533-position model. The record is from RNAcentral.